Molecule: transfer RNA, 76 nt
Filed under: Cycloclasticus pugetii
Lineage: Bacteria; Pseudomonadati; Pseudomonadota; Gammaproteobacteria; Thiotrichales; Piscirickettsiaceae
Also listed under: 10 other names
Description: tRNA-Thr
Rfam family: tRNA
About the family: Transfer RNA (tRNA) molecules are approximately 80 nucleotides in length.
Source: RNAcentral
GCUGGUGUAGCUCAGUCGGUAGAGCAGCUGAUUUGUAAUCAGCCGGUCGGUGGUUCGAAUCCUCUCACCAGCUCCA